RNAcentral lists this ribosomal RNA (301 nucleotides) under uncultured bacterium. Its description in RNAcentral is "partial 16S ribosomal RNA". It matches the Rfam family "Bacterial small subunit ribosomal RNA", at positions 509 to 807 of the family's 1533-position model. The record is from RNAcentral.
CAGUCGCCACGGGAAUACGGAGGGGGCUAGCGUUGUUCGGAAUUACUGGGCGUAAAGCGCACGUAGGCGGCUUGGUAAGUUAGAGGUGAAAGCCUGGAGCUCAACUCCAGAAUUGCCUUUAAGACUGCCGAGCUAGCAGGUGAGAGAGGUAAGUGGAAUUCCGAGUGUAGAGGUGAAAUUCGUAGAUAUUCGGAAGAACACCAGUGGCGAAGGCGGCUUACUGGCUCAUACUGGACGCUGAGGUGCGAAAGCGGGGGGAGCAAACAGGAUUAGAUACCCGCGUAGUCCCUGUCUCUUAUAC